Non-coding RNA from Nerophis lumbriciformis (worm pipefish), 3775 nucleotides. The record is from RefSeq and is a predicted model, not a curated record. NCBI's taxonomy places the organism in Eukaryota, Metazoa, Chordata, Actinopteri, Syngnathiformes, Syngnathidae.
UUAAGUGGACAACUUGCGAGCCUCCGCCUGUCAUCCUCAAGCCGAUUGUUUGUUGUCAAAAUGGAGUUCUUACUGGGUAAUCCAUACAGCACUCCAGUGGGUCAAUGCAUAGAGAGGGCUACUGACGGAGGCCUACCGCAUGAAGACUGGGCCCUCAACAUGGAGAUCUGUGACAUCAUUAACGAGACAGAUGAGGGGCCAAAAGAUGCCAUACGAGCCCUGAAGAAACGACUUAGUGGCAACAAGAAUUACCGAGAAGUCAUGCUGGCCCUAACGGUCGUGGAGACGUGUGUGAAGAACUGCGGCCAUAGGUUUCACGCUCAGGUGGCGAAUAGAGAUUUUAUCGAUGGCGUUUUGGUCAAAAUCAUCUCGCCCAAAACAAAUCCUCCAACCAUCGUGCAGGACAAAGUGCUGUCGCUCAUACAGGCCUGGGCUGAUGCAUUCCGGAGUAGUCCUGAUCUUACCGGGGUGGUCCACAUCUAUGAAGAACUGAAAAGAAAGGGCAUUGAGUUCCCCAUGGCAGAUCUGGAUGCAUUGUCCCCCAUCCACACACCACAGCGGGGCACCCCAGAGGUGGACCCGGGCAUGAUCAAGUACCUCGCUCCUGCAGCCACCCCCACCAUCACCACCACCACCACCACCUCUGCUUCUUCAUCUCCUAAACCUGCCACAAACUCAUCUGCCACUCACAUCUCUCCACAUGGUGCCAUCACAGCUACCCCUGAACAGAUCACCAGGUUACGUAGCGAGUUGGACAUAGUGAGAGGGAACAUUAAAGUCUUGUCAGAGAUGCUCACAGAGAUGGUUCCCGGCCAGGAGGAUUCCUCCGAUCUAGAAUUGCUCCAGGAGCUGCACCGGACAUGCAGAGCUAUGCAGCAGAGAGUCGUGGAACUCAUCUCCCGUGUGUCUAACGAGGAAGUGACCGAGGAGCUUCUGCACAUCAAUGACGACCUCAACAACAUAUUCCUCCGCUACGAGAGGUACGAGAGAUUCAGGUCGGGAAGGGGAGCUCAGAACAAAGGGAUGUUGACUGAGGCCACAGAUGACAACCUGAUAGACCUUGGUCCAGGCUCCCCUGCUGUGGUCUCACCCAAAAUCACGUCUCGUUCGCCCCCUCACAGUACUGCAGGGGGGGCCACUGCCUCCCCAGCCCAUCGCCCCGGUGCAGCCGCACUCUCCUCUGCAAUGGCAGGCCUCGAUGUGGGCUCAGCCAGUCUACCAAGCCACAAACAAGACGACUUUGACAUGUUUGCCCAGACUAGGAGCAGCUCUCUGGCUGAGCAGCGUAAGAAUGUCAAAUAUGAGGACCCUCAGGCUUUGGGCGGUCUGGCCUCGGCUCUGGACGUCAGACAGCAAAACACAGGAGGGAUCCCUGUAUCGCAGUCCUCUGUCAUGGAUGACAUAGAGGAGUGGCUCUGUGCUGACGUGAAAGGUGAUGCUGCAGAUGAAGGUGUAACCAGUGAAGAGUUCGACAAGUUCCUCGAAGAGCGAGCAAAGGCGGGAGACUCACCACCUCCCGGGGCUAGUCCCGCUCAUCCUGCCCACGCCCCCGUGGGAUCUCAGAAGAGGGCGGAACGGACAGAAGAUGCCCUCUUUGCCUUGUAGUCUCUUGAGCGUCUCAAUCACUCUCUUAGGAGGGGUCUUCUGAAGGUCCUCAACCUGAAUGAUUCCUCCUAAAAACGGUUGUAUUUCAUCAACUAAACAGAGGUCCACAGGUCGUAAGACCCAAAAAUUCCAUCCCGUUUGAAGUCCAGCCCCCUUUUUUUAUUUUGGACCCUCCCCGACCACCUGGCCACCGCUGUUUCCAAAGGACAAAGGUCGUAAACAAUUCACAGAAAAGAUCAGUUCAAAAAGAAUUCCAUAAAAUACUUCAAAAAGAGUUCGUAAAAUACUUCAAAAAGAGGUCGUCUGGAAAUUGGGCAGAUCCUGCCAUAUGUCCGCUUUGAAGUCCUUGAAUUAGAACAAUAUCUUUCUGUUGAUUACCAUACAUGAGAGAAAACAGAAAACCCUUCAUGUGGCUUUCCCCUUUACACAGUGAAGCCUUCUUUUUGGUAGGUUUCAAAGACAGCUUUUGUCUUCUUGCUAGGAACUCAUUUCAACACAAAGUAUUUUGUGAUAACUUACAAUUAUUCUAACAAUGUGUACAUGUCAUUAUUUAAUGUUAUGAUGACUGAUUUCAAACAGAGCACAUCCGACUGAAAAGAAUGUCUUGGAUAUUCCUCAGACCCAAAAAUUCCAUCCCGUUUGAAGUCCAGCCCCUUUUUUUUAUUUUGGACCCUCCCCGACCACCUGGCCACCGCUGUUUCCAAAGGACAAAGGUCGUAAACAAUUCACAGAAAAGAUCAGUUCAAAAAGAAUUCCAUAAAAUACUUCAAAAAGAGUUCGUAAAAUACUUCAAAAAGAGGUCCAUAAAAUAGUUCAAAAAGAGGUCGUCUGGAAAUUGGGCAGAUCCUGCCAUCUGUCCGCUUUGAAGUCCUUGGGUUAGAACAAUAUCUUUCUGUUGAUUACCAUACAUGAGAGAAAACAGAAAACCCUUCAUGUGGCUUUCCCCCUUACACAGUGGAGUUUUACAAGCCUUCUUCUUGGUAGGUUUCAAAGACAGCUUUUGGUCUUCUUGCUCGGAACUCAUUUCAACACAAAGUAUUUUGUGAUAACUUACAAUUAUUCUAACAAUGUGUACAUGUCAUUAUUUAAUGUUAUGAUGACUGAUUUCAAACAGAGCACAUCCGACUGAAAAGAAUGUCUUGGAUAUUCUUCAGACCCAAAAAUUCCAUCCCGUUUGAAGUCCGGCCCCUUUUUUUUUAUUUUGGACCCUCCCCGACCACCUGGCCACCGCUGUUUCCAAAGGACAAAGGUCGUAAACAAUUCACAGAAAAGAUCAGUUCAAAAAGAAUUCCAUAAAAUACUUCAAAAAGAGUUCGUAAAAUACUUCAAAAAGAGGUCCAUAAAAUAGUUCAAAAAGAGGUCGUCUGGAAAUUGGGCAGAUCCUGCCAUCUGUGCACUUUGAAGUCCUUGAAUUAGAACAAUAUCUUUCUGUUGAUUACCAUACAUGAGAGAAAACAGAAACCCCUUCAUGUGGCUUUCCCCCUUACACAGUGGAGCCUUCUUCUUGGUAGGUUUCAAAGACAGCUUUUGGUCUUCUUGCUAGGAACUCAUUUCAACACAAAGUAUUUUGUGAUAACUUACAAUUAUUCUAACAAUGUGUACAUGUCAUUAUUUAAUGUUAUGAUGACUGAUUUCAAACAGAGCACAUCCGACUGAAAAGAAUGUCUUGGAUAUUUCCUCAGACCCAAAAAUUCCAUCCCGUUUGAAGUCCAGCCCUUUCGACCCUCUCUGGUUUGUUCUGAUUUUGCUUUUCAUUUUGCAGCUUGAGACCAAAACGUGUAAAAACAAUAAUUUGCCUACCUACAGUCAUUAGUAUCAGUAGAUGUAUUCAACUAAUGAAUUUUCAUUGAGCUUUAACUUGAGAGCAACGUAUAAUAUUAACAAUCAUGUUACUAUACAGGCUAAAGAAAAACUAAACGGCAACUUCUGUUGUCUUAAUGUACGGCAUUUCUGGACCUUGUAUUAACAGGUAUGUGUUGAUCGCAGCAUGGAGUUCCUUCCGUCAGUAAAUAUGCUUGAAAACAGACAAAGCAGAACAUUACAAAGUGUUCAUGUUUGUGGACGUUCCGUUUCUGUUUGCUGCCAUUGCUGAUUGUCAGGUCUUUGUGACUUUAUGCACCUACAGUAUGUAUAACUGCCCAAUUAAAACACUAGCAAUGUGAGACCUCUA